RNAcentral lists this long non-coding RNA (293 nucleotides) under Marmota monax (woodchuck). The record is from RNAcentral. Lineage: Eukaryota; Metazoa; Chordata; Mammalia; Rodentia; Sciuridae.
AAAUGAAGUACUGAUACAUGUUACAGCAUGAAUGAGCUUUGAAUAAAAAUAUACUAAGUGAAAGAUGUCAAACACAAAGACACACAUUGUAUGAUCCUAUUUAUAUGAAAUGUGCAGAAUAGGCUAUUAGUAAUUCCGAGGGAAUAGGGAAGGGGUAUGGAUAAGGAAAUUUUUUGUUUAAUGGUAAAGUAUUUUGGAUUUAGAUAAUGGUGAUGGUUGUAUAAUGUUGUGAAUAUACUAAAACCUACUGAACUGUAUACUUUAAAUGAUGCAUUUUGUGCUAUGUGAAUUAU